UACCCUGUGGUGUAAAGAUGUUGCUG
RNAcentral lists this non-coding RNA (26 nucleotides) under Homo sapiens (human). The record is from RNAcentral. Lineage: Eukaryota; Metazoa; Chordata; Mammalia; Primates; Hominidae.